This 1261-nucleotide ribosomal RNA is filed under the name metagenome. RNAcentral describes it as "bacterial SSU rRNA". It matches the Rfam family "Bacterial small subunit ribosomal RNA", at positions 243 to 1520 of the family's 1533-position model. The record is from RNAcentral.
AGCUGGUUGGUGGGGUAAUGGCCCACCAAGGCGACGAUCAGUAGCUGGUCUGAGAGGAUGAUCAGCCACACUGCGACUGAGACACGGCCCAGACUCCUACGGGAGGCAGCAGUGGGGAAUUUUCCGCAAUGGGCGAAAGCCUGACGGAGCAACGCCGCGUGGGGAUGAAGGCCUCUGGGCUGUAAACCUCUUUUCUCAAGGAAGAAGACAUGACGGUACUUGAGGAAUAAGCCACGGCUAAUUCCGUGCCAGCAGCCGCGGUAAUACGGGAGUGGCAAGCGUUAUCCGGAAUUAUUGGGCGUAAAGCGUCCGCAGGCGGCCCUGUAAGUCUGUCGUUAAAGCGUGGAGCCUAACUCCAUUUCAGCGAUGGAAACUACAGGGCUUGAGUGUGGUAGGGGCAGAGGGAAUUCCCGGUGUAGCGGUGAAAUGCGUAGAUAUCGGGAAGAACACCAGUGGCGAAGGCGCUCUGCUGGGCCAUAACUGACGCUCAUGGACGAAAGCCAGGGGAGCGAAAGGGAUUAGAUACCCCUGUAGUCCUGGCCGUAAACGAUGAACACUAGGUGUCGGGGGAAUCGACCCCCUCGGUGUCGUAGCCAACGCGUUAAGUGUUCCGCCUGGGGAGUACGCACGCAAGUGUGAAACUCAAAGGAAUUGACGGGGGCCCGCACAAGCGGUGGAGUAUGUGGUUUAAUUCGAUGCAACGCGAAGAACCUUACCAGGGUUUGACAUCCUGCGAAUCCCUCGGAAACUUGGGAGUGCCUUCGGGAGCGCAGAGACAGGUGGUGCAUGGCUGUCGUCAGCUCGUGUCGUGAGAUGUUGGGUUAAGUCCCGCAACGAGCGCAACCCACGUCUUUAGUUGCCAGCAUUCAGUUGGGCACUCUAGAGAGACCGCCGGUGAUAAACCGGAGGAAGGUGUGGAUGACGUCAAGUCAUCAUGCCCCUUACAUCCUGGGCUACACACGUACUACAAUGCUACGGACAGAGGGCAGCAAGCUCGCGAGAGUUAGCAAAUCCCAUAAACCGUGGCUCAGUUCAGAUCGUAGGCUGCAACUCGCCUACGUGAAGGAGGAAUCGCUAGUAAUCGCAGGUCAGCAUACUGCGGUGAAUACGUUCCCGGGCCUUGUACACACCGCCCGUCACACCAUGGAAGUUGGCCAUGCCCGAAGUCGUUACUCCAACCCUUGUGGAGGAGGACGCCGAAGGUGGGGCUGAUGACUGGGGUGAAGUCGUAACAAGGUAGCCGUACCGGAAGGUGCGGCUG